Non-coding RNA from Biomphalaria pfeifferi, 524 nucleotides. Lineage: Eukaryota; Metazoa; Mollusca; Gastropoda; Planorbidae. The record is from the annotation of a GenBank genome assembly.
CCCCCCCCCCCCCCCAACACACACACAGUCCUUUUUCUUUUGGGUUUUCCCUCUAGUGAUCAAGGUAUUUGCAUCAGAAUUUCUUCUAAGGGGAACAUGAGUCAACUUUCAUUGGGGCAAGUAGUAGGCUGUAAUCCUUUCUCAAGAAGCAUAGCCUCAUCAGUCAAUUUUUACAAUAGGACAUGUCACUUUAUAAUUUGUGAAUCCAAACUUUUACAAUAGGACAUGUCAUUAUUUUUUUUUUUUUUUUUUUUUUUAGAAAUAUUUUUUUCACAUUUAUAACUUUACUGGAGAAUGUUAUGAAAUCCUUUGUGCAAUAAUGAUGAUAUUCAUUUCUAAUGGUUAGUUGCAAAUAUAUUUAAUACUGUUAGAUCUUCUCUUAGACAUUAAUUGUGGACUAUGUUGUGACUCAGCAAUGUAUUUAGUUAGUGUACAAUUUAUUCACAUUAAUGUCGUAAUUCAGCAAAUUUUCUUUUUACCUUAAGCAUUAAGAUGUGUUCAAAUAAAAUUGAACUUCUUGCAAA